This 170-nucleotide ribosomal RNA is filed under the name uncultured Actinomycetes bacterium. RNAcentral's name for it is "uncultured actinobacterium partial 16S ribosomal RNA". It matches the Rfam family "Bacterial small subunit ribosomal RNA", at positions 338 to 524 of the family's 1533-position model. The record is from RNAcentral. Lineage: Bacteria; Bacillati; Actinomycetota; Actinomycetes.
CCUACGGGAGGCAGCAGUGGGGAAUCUUGCGCAAUGGGCGAAAGCCUGACGCAGCAACGCCGCGUGGGGGAUGAAGGCUCUCGGGUUGUAAACCCCUUUCAGUAGGGACGAAUUCAGGCGGUACCUACAGAAGAAGCCCCGGCCAACUACGUGCCAGCAGCCGCGGUAAU